AGGAUAUUAAUAUGAAUAUGAACUCAAUUAUAUUAGAAGUUAAUAGACCCGAAGGAAUUAAAUCACUCUUCUUUGACUCCAGUUACGGCUAAGGCACCCGCUAUAGUGCGCAUGUUACAACAUAUAAUUACCGAUGAGGUAUUUCGAUAUGGUCUUAUUAAAUAUUUACACACGCAUCAGUUCGACUACUUCCGACGACUUAUGGAACGCUUUGCAAGCAGUACUAGAUACAUCAGAUGUCCCGCA
Camponotus floridanus (Florida carpenter ant) is the source of this 246-nucleotide long non-coding RNA. RefSeq lists it as uncharacterized. The record is from RefSeq and is a predicted model, not a curated record. The transcript has 3 exons. NCBI's taxonomy places the organism in Eukaryota, Metazoa, Arthropoda, Insecta, Hymenoptera, Formicidae.